GUGCCAGCAGCCGCGGUAAAACGUAGGAGCCAAGCGUUAUCCGAAUUCACUGGGCGUAAAGCGCGUGCAGGCGGCCGGAUAAGUUGGAUGUGAAAUCUCCUGGCUCAACUGGGAGAGGCCGUUCAAGACUGUCGGGCUCGAGGGCGACAGAGGGAGGUGGAAUUCCGGGUGUAGUGGUGAAAUGCGUAGAUAUCCGGAGGAACACCAGAGGCGAAGGCGACCUCCUGGGUCGUACCUGACGCUGAGAUGCGAAAGCUAGGGGAGCAAACGGGAUUAGAAACCCCCGUAGUCC
This 292-nucleotide ribosomal RNA is filed under the name uncultured bacterium. RNAcentral describes it as "partial 16S ribosomal RNA". It matches the Rfam family "Bacterial small subunit ribosomal RNA", at positions 505 to 796 of the family's 1533-position model. The record is from RNAcentral.